UGAGUGAGUCGGACAACCGCGCGAAGCAAUUCUCGAGGAAAGUCCGGGCACCAUAGAGCAGAAUGCCAGCUAACGGCUGGGCGGUGGAAGCCGACGGAAAGUGCAGCAGAGAGUAAACCGCCGAUGACGCGUCCGCGCGAACAGGUAAGGGUGAAAGGGUGCGGUAAGAGCGCACCGCGCAACUGGUAACAGUUUGUGGCAUGGUAAACCCCAUUCGGUGCAAGACCAAAUAGGAAAACGUGUGAGGCUUGUCCUCCGCCUUGUGGCUCGCAGGGGUUUUCGGGUAGGUUGCUUGAGGUGUGUAGCAAUGCUCACCCUAGAUGAAUGGUUGUCGCUCGUAAGAGUACAGAACCCGGCUUAUAGACUCACUCUAUUU
This 376-nucleotide RNase P RNA is filed under the name Thiomicrorhabdus marina. RNAcentral describes it as "RNase P RNA component class A". It matches the Rfam family "Bacterial RNase P class A". Rfam says of the family: Ribonuclease P (RNase P) is a ubiquitous endoribonuclease, found in archaea, bacteria and eukarya as well as chloroplasts and mitochondria. Lineage: Bacteria; Pseudomonadati; Pseudomonadota; Gammaproteobacteria; Thiotrichales; Piscirickettsiaceae. The record is from RNAcentral.